AUACAGCUUACAGUGAAAUUGCCACUGUUUUUGGCUCUUGACUGGUACUUUGUUUCUCAUAGGGCCCGAGUGCGUAAGACAAUAGGAACACCAGCACUGAGCGUCAGAAGUUUGUAACAUUUUCCACACACGUGCACAGUCCCCACACCAGGCUGUAGCUCCGACCCUAGUCAAUGAAGAUCUGACGCUGGGUGAGUACCUGUGACAGCUCCCUUUGGAGCUGUCGGUAUUUUUGAUUAUCAGGCAAAGACUCAACAGAUCUGGAGCACAGAGAAGAGGUGGAGUGGGAGUAGAUGUCAUUCAAUGUGGAGCGAAUCUUGUUCUCCAUCUCCUGCAACAAAGAUAUGAAAGCUUAAAGGUUGAAAAUGCAGCAAGAGAACCUUGAUUAGCGAGUCUAAGGCGCUUCGCUUUAUGCAGCAGAGAUGAAACAAAACAAAUGGAUGCGUGGCCUGGCAGAUGACGUCAAUAACGCUCAAGCUUUACACCAUACUUGUCUUGUUAGGCUGCCGCCCAAAUUCAUGGUUCCAGAGUCAAUCUUGGUCGUCUGAAGCCACAACAUAACGGUGGAGAAAGAAUGCUGACCAAUACGCGGGGUCUGAAAGGCAAAUUGUUGUUGGAUUAUGUUUAAAUACCCACUACAUUUUGAGCAGAAUUCUCGCUUUGUAUAAACUAAUGUUCCUGUUGUUGAAAGGUGUGUAAUAAACAACUAGCACAUUUAUGUUGUCUUACUGUACCGAAAAUGAACCGAACCGUGACCUCAAAAUUGAGGUACGUACCGAACCGAGGUUUUGUGUACCGUUACACCCCUACUAAACAUACAAUAAAUGUGGCAGAAAACACAGACAAGGGCGAAAAAGCAAUUUCUGCUUUUGCACCCCUCUUUAAAAUAAAGAGCUAUAUUUUAAGCCAAAACAACUUUUGUGUUUGAUAGACCCAUAUGUCUAUUUGCUGCCAUAGCAGCCCGAACUAUUUUUAAUUUGUCCGCUAUACCCUGAAAACUCCCGUUUACAGACAUCGCGCAACCGCUUUUGUUUCAACCCAGCCAUAAAAAGGUAAGUAAUUAUAUUCAUUAUUCGAAAUGUCCAUUUUUAGCUUAGAAUCAUUAAUUGAUGUCUAAUAUUUAGUUAAAAAAAAAAAAAACUUAUAAAUUAUAAAAUUAUUCACUCACAUACUUUAAAGGGUACCACGGAUCGAAAGACGUGGUUCUUAAAAGAAAUGUUAGUACGAGUUAUAAUAAUUUUAUAUUAAAACCCCUGUAAAUAUUUUCGUUUUAAUAAAAUUUGUAAAAUUGUUUUAACUAGUAGGUCGCCAUUGUUGUUGACGUCGCAGAGCGAAGACAUCACAUGGACACGCUGGCGGACUUUCACUGUGUCGCUCUAACUACAUUAACAUGUCCUCGGUUCUGCCCUUCCAAUUUGAACCCGAAUGGAACAUUACUGUGAAGGACAGCAAAUGGGAUGAGUCGAGUAGCGGAUUUGUGUCAAGUUCGCUAGUGACAGCACUAAGCUGCUCUAGUGACGAGAGCAGGAGUGUUUGAUGUCAAAAACUGUUUCCAGCAGGCCCGGAUCUAGGUUUACCCACCAGAGUGGGCACUAAGAAAACUUGAGGGGGCACCCCAAUGCAGGCUUUUUUUUACCCUCUGCAUUUCUCCAGGCUUGGGACCGGCGCAAGUAGGACACUGGCUUGUGUCCCGUUGAGGCUGCAUUAAUUUUUGGGGGGUUUGUUUUUUGUUUGUUUGUUGUUUUUUUUCAUUCAUCUCUCUACUUAUUCUCGCUGUCGGCGUGAUGUCACGAUGACGUCAUCUCGCAUAGCAACGUGUCACCAUUUUGAGAUGGGGGAACACACAGGUAAACAUCCGUAGACAAACGUCUGAAAUUCAUAUAUUUCAGCUGUGUUUUGCGUCUUUUUUUCAUUAAAAACGUCUUAAACAUGACUUAUUAUCACGAGUCACUGCCGACAGACGCGAGGAAGCGAUACAACUUAAAAUUAGCGUGUAUUGGCCUGCAAAUCUGCGCAUACAAAGUCGCAGCUGAUAGCUGGAUAAACAAUCCAAAGGAAUUGCCUGCAGUGGAGUUCGGUAACAUCUACAACUACCUCAUAAAGUCACCCAGUAAGUUGACCUUUACCAAUUACGUGGAAUAUGUACUGUGAGGAACUAAGAAAACUGGUAGUAUAUAUGGAGUGAUCAUUUCUGCCGUAACCGGUAAUUUGCCUCCAAGCGUUAUUUAGCUGUGAACACGUCACGGCAAAAUAACCAAUUCCCACCAGGCCAAUAAUAUACCGAUUGACCGAUCAGAGCAGUUCAUGGCAAAAGAAAAAUAACGCUUUGCAAGUUGUCAGUUACGGUAAUAAUAAAAAUGCUUAGUCUAUUGAAUCCUAGCAGCUAAUUGGGGCAAGAAAAAUCGAUUAAAGUUUACUCACCAGUAAUAAAAUGUCAGCUGCAGAUGUACAGUAAAUGUGCCUGGAUUUAGGUUGCCACUGGCGAGAAUGGUCCACGGAACCGUCUUCUUUUACUGUUCCUUAAUUAAUUGCUUUCAGCCAUUUGCUUGUCGUUUUCUUCUCACGAGGAAGAAUAAAGAACUUCAAAUGCGGCUCCGAACUCUUCCUUGUGUUACAAACCUCAACACGGCAACUUUUAGUCAUCGAUGGAAAAAAAGACCGCAAAUAAGACAAAAGUUCAACGCGUUUGUACUACGAUAAAGGACAGAGCAACUGCUUGUGACUCGUGUUUUGCCAUUUCAAUAUGGCGACGCUUUGUUGUGGCUGGUGAAGUCAUUAAUGCCCGGAUGUCCGACUGCGAGAAUGUGUCUGGAGGAGAGAGAGGAAGUGCGCGGAUAACAAAUGAGGUUGGAAAAACAGCUUGUUUUGGUGAUUACUUGUUCGGCGUGGUUGCAGCCAACAGUAACCGUUAAUCCUGCAAUAAAAAAGUAGGUGAGACCAACUCUCCGUGCGUUCUCUAUAUCCAGUGCGACGCUAAAUAGAGACUGUGCCGUCACGAUAGUCGUGGCUAUGAACACCUUUCUCGUAUCAACGACUCUACAGACGUGGCUAUGUCUAAGCAGGUUUAUUAACACUCAAAAUGGUGAAACUAAAGAAAACAGACAAAACAACACAAUCAAAUUAUGCACAAUAGGGAAUGGGAAGUACUACGUCAUUGUUUGGACGCGCCUCCAUGCUUGCAAUAUGAUUCACUUCCGGGUCGGCAAACUCAAUGCGGAUUGUAACGUGUGGUCGUGCUAAGCUAACUCUUUCGGUGUUUUAGAAAGAAAUUAUGGGUGUGUAUUGUUGUGUUACCGGGUGCAACAGCUUCUCCUACGACUAAAAAAAGGGCGAGGAAAACUGGACUCACUUUUCACCGUUUUCCUGCAUGGAGGACCAAAUAUCAGAUCACGAAGGCACGACUGAUGGCUGGAUUGCAGCGGUUCGUCGGGAAAGCAUUUCUUAUGAUCAUAUUUCUGCUGGAAUGAGAGUAUUCCCCUCAUCUCUACUCUUGAAAACCUGCAUAUGAAAUGCUGACAACACAUCCCGAUUGGUCACCAUAUCUCUUCUUGGGUUAUUCUGAGGUCAAGCGCACCACAUCGGAGCGUUAUGAGAGGUUGGAAAGGCGAAGAGUGCACGCUGAAACUUCAGUUUGCGCUGCUCUUACAAACACGAUCCCAAGUGUUGUUGUGAAAAGUCAAUAAAAUAUGAAUACCAAAACAUGACUUGAACAACUUCUUGACAAACUGUAACUGCUUGUUGUUUACUUCAGGUCUUCAUAAUAAAUAGGUGUAAUAAUUACAAAGUCAGGUGACUUAAUUUUGUUAUUCUAUUUGGAAUAUGCAUUGACAAUUUUUGGACAGUGUUGUAGACAAGAACUGGGACUGAUAAGUUGCAAUAGAUUUAUUUCAAGUAAUGCAAUUUCUCCAAUACGAUAUUUUAAUUGACAGUUUAAAAUCUUUAAAUUAGUGCAAACAAGGCCCACCCUCUGACGGUGGCAGCAAAUAUUAUAUACGGUAAUUAUAAGUAAUACACAAAUACAAGAUCACAAUAAACGUGUCUUUGUCAAAGCAGUUUAAAACACUAUUUACUGGCCUUGGGUAAAUUGCCAGACAGGAUAAAUAUGUGCUUUAAAGUUCUUGCAUUUCCAUUUUAAGUAUUGCAAGUACUAGUCUCCAACACAGUAUUUGAACAGACAGUUUAAAAUCCUUUUAGUACAAAAUGGCCCACACUCUGGCAGGGGGCAGCAAAUAUUAUAAUACAUAAUACAUUAUAAAAAGCUAUAUACUAUAUAAAUACAAGAUCACAACAAAACCUGUAUUUUUUCAAAGCAGUUAAAAAACAUCCAGUGGCCUUAGGUAAAUAAAGGUGUAUAAAUAUGUACUUUACAGUUUUUGCAUUUCUAUUUUAGGUAUUGCAACUUUUCCAACACUAUUUGAAUUGACAGUCUAAAGUCUCCAUAAGUGCAAAUAAGAAUAUUAUAAUUUAAAAAUAAUAAUAGAAUAUAUAAAUUCAACAUUACAAUGAAACGUGUCUUUGUCAAAGUGGUUUAAAAAAAAAAAUAAUAAUAAUAAUACGUCACUGGCCAUAGUUAAAUAGCCAGGCAGAAUAAAUAUGUGCAUUACAGUUCUUGCAUUUUCACAAGUUAAAAGCCCGCAGUUCAUCGACGAGAAGGGCAGACCCAGAUGGCGUCUGCAGCAGGGGCUUGUUUGAGUCCGACACAGGACAAAUGGAACCACUCCAUUGAACAAAUUUUCUUUGUCAAAUGAUCCAAGAAGGGAGAUGGUGACCAAUCGGGAUGUGUUGUCAGCAGGUUUACCUAGGAACACAACAGGUAGGUGAGUCGUAGUAGGCGAGCAUUGCU
Long non-coding RNA from Corythoichthys intestinalis (scribbled pipefish), 4843 nucleotides. RefSeq lists it as uncharacterized. NCBI's taxonomy places the organism in Eukaryota, Metazoa, Chordata, Actinopteri, Syngnathiformes, Syngnathidae. The record is from RefSeq and is a predicted model, not a curated record. The transcript is spliced from 5 exons.